UAAAAGUUGGGUCCUGGCUUUACUAUCAUCUUAUGCUCAACUUACACAUGCAAGUACCCGCACCCCUGUGAGAAUGCCCUAUACCCUCUAAAAGAGGACAAGGAGCCGGCAUCAGGCACACAUACCAUGUAGCCCAAGACGCCUUGCUUAGCCACACCCCCAAGGGAACUCAGCAGUGAUAGAAAUUAGGCAAUGAGCGAAAGCUUGACCUAGUUAGAGCAUCCAAGAGCCGGUAAAACUCGUGCCAGCCACCGCGGUUAUACGGGUGCGCUCAAGAUGAUAUCCUACGGCGUAAAGCGUGAUUAGAGGUAAGACCAAACUAAAGCCGAACAACCCCCAAACUGUUAUACGUUAACGGGGUGAGGAAGACCCACAACGAAAGUAGCUUUAACCCUAACCCUUGAACUCACGACAGUUGAGAAACAAACUGGGAUUAGAUACCCCACUAUGCUCAACCGUAAACAAUGAUGUUUUAUUACAAAAACCUCCGCCAGGGGACUACGAGCAGAAGCUUAAAACCCAAAGGACUUGGCGGUGCCUCAAACCCACCUAGAGGAGCCUGUCCUAGAACCGAUAAUCCCCGUUAAACCUCACCUCUCCUUGUCCAUUCAGCCUAUAUACCGCCGUCGCCAGCUUACCUUUUGAGAGACCCACAGUAAGCCCAACGAGUACUACCCAAAACGUCAGGUCGAGGUGUAGCCAAUGGAGAGGGAAUGAGAUGGGCUACAUUCUCUGACCCAGAGUAAUACGAAAGAUAUAAUGAAAAAAUACUACUGAAGGUGGAUUUAGCAGUAAAAAGAAAUAGAACAUUCUUUUGAAACAGGCUCUGAGGCGCGUACACACCGCCCGUCGCUCUCCUCGAAACAACUAUAUAUGUAUAUAACCACUAAAUAAAAUAAAGAGGAGGUAAGUCGUAACAUGGUAAGUGUACCGGAAGGUGCACUUGGUUAAAA
This 953-nucleotide non-coding RNA is filed under the name Kaupichthys hyoproroides (false moray). RNAcentral's name for it is "12S rRNA". It matches the Rfam family "Bacterial small subunit ribosomal RNA". The record is from RNAcentral. Lineage: Eukaryota; Metazoa; Chordata; Actinopteri; Anguilliformes; Chlopsidae.